Molecule: ribosomal RNA, 253 nt
Filed under: uncultured bacterium
Lineage: Bacteria
Description: partial 16S ribosomal RNA
Rfam family: Bacterial small subunit ribosomal RNA
Source: RNAcentral
UACGUAGGGGGCAAGCGUUGUCCGGAUUUAUUGGGCGUAAAGCGCGUGUAGGCGGCUAUGCAGGUCCGUUGUGAAAACUCGAGGCUCAACCUCGAGACGCCGAUGGAAACCGCAUGGCUAGAGUCCGGAAGAGGAGAGUGGAAUUCCUGGUGUAGCGGUGAAAUGCGCAGAUAUCAGGAAGAACACCCGUGGCUAAGGCGGCUCUCUAGUACGGUACUGACGCUGAGACGCGAAAGCGUGGGGAGCGAACAGG